Populus nigra (black poplar) is the source of this 1358-nucleotide long non-coding RNA. RefSeq lists it as uncharacterized. The record is from RefSeq and is a predicted model, not a curated record. NCBI's taxonomy places the organism in Eukaryota, Viridiplantae, Streptophyta, Magnoliopsida, Malpighiales, Salicaceae. The transcript is spliced from 4 exons.
CGUUAUAUCAUCCCCAUCAUCAUCCUCACCCUAUUACAUCAAUUUUUUUUUUCCAGUAGGAUCAGUUUUGACCUUGUUUCUUGCAUGUUGUUGUCUUUUGCAGGGGUUCCUCUAACCAUUUGAGCAUUCACUUAGCCAUCUUUGCAAGCUCUAUUGUUCGCUUUUUCUGUCAUUCGGUGCGCCCUUUGAUUUAGUUUUUUCAGCUUGGCCUUUCUCUAAGGCAAGUUGGACUACAAAAAUCAACCUUUUCUUCUGGCAAUUCUUCCAUGAAGGGAUUACCUACCCCGACUCUUGGUGGUGGAGGUGGCUUACCUGCCCAGUACAAGCAUCUAGAUGGUAUCAAUUCAUCAAUUCCAAACUAUGGAUUGAGUGGGUUUUCCAUAAAUCCAACAUUGGCUUCGAUGAUUGCUCAGCAGCUUGGCACAGGUAAUCUGCCUCCAUUAUUUGGAAAUGUUGCUGCAGCAUCUGCCAUGGCCAUCCCUGGGAUGGACUCAUGAGUGCUUGGAGGUGGCUUGCGUUCUUGAGCAAAUCUAAGAGCUGCUUCAUUGGAAUCUUGGGAGAUGGGGGAGUCCAAUAGCAGGAAGCGCUCUUCAGGCACCUUUUGUUGAUCCUAUGUAUCUCCAUUACUUGAGGGCUCCUGACUAUGGUGCUACCAGCUUGUUGCUAUUAAUGAUCCCUCAAUAGAUAUGAACUACUAAGGUGGGAAAUCUGUCGUUUCUGAUCAUUAUGGUUAUUUUGGGAAUCCUGCCUUCAGUGUUGGUAUGCCAUUUCCUGGAAGUACCCUGGCAAGUCCUGUCAUUCCAAACUUCCUAGUUGAACCUGGCAGUCCCAUAAGACACAAUGAACUGAAUAUGCAUUUUCCUCUGGAUAGCGUAGCUGGUGGCAUCAUGGGACACUGGCCCUUGGAUGCAGGAUGUAACAUGGAAGAAGCUUUUAGUCAUCCCUGUUGGAAGAGUUUAAGAGCAAUAAACUAGGUUUCUUGAGCUUUCAGAAAUUGCCAGCCAUGUUGUUGAGUUCAGCAGUGCGGAUCAGUACGGGAGCCAAUUUAUUCAACAAAAACUUCAGACUACCACAACGGAUGAGAAAAAUGUGGUUUACGAGGAAAUCAUGCCCCAAGCUCUGGCUAUGAUGACUGAUGUGUUUGGUAAUUAUGUAAAUCAGAAGGUACCAUAUAUCUAUGCUUUCUUACUUGUCAUGGUUUGAAUAUGUACAUACAUACAUACAUACAUAUAUUUGUGUGUGUGUAAAUAAAAAAAAGAGCUAUGUUGGAGUGGUUACUAGGAUUUUUUUUUGAUGAAACAAAUGGUCUGCAUAUGUAAAGAAGGUUGAGAGAUGUUUUAUCACUUUAAAAUAAAAUU